This 522-nucleotide ribosomal RNA is filed under the name uncultured bacterium. RNAcentral describes it as "partial 16S ribosomal RNA". It matches the Rfam family "Bacterial small subunit ribosomal RNA", at positions 28 to 507 of the family's 1533-position model. The record is from RNAcentral.
GAUGAACGCUGGCGGCGUGCCUAAUACAUGCAAGUCGAACGCUUUGUCUUUAAUUGUUCUGAAGAGCUUGCUCUGAUUUGAUUUUAUCUGACAAAGAGUGGCGAACGGGUGAGUAACACGUUGGUAACCUACCUCUUAGCAGGGGAUAACAUUUGGAAACAAGUGCUAAUACCGUAUAACACUAACAACCGCAUGGUUGUUAGUUGAAAGAUGGUUCUGCUAUCACUAAGAGAUGGACCCGCGGUGCAUUAGCUAGUUGGUAAGGUAAUGGCUUACCAAGGCGAUGAUGCGUAGCCGAGUUGAGAGACUGAUCGGCCACAAUGGGACUGAGACACGGCCCAUACUCCUACGGGAGGCAGCAGUAGGGAAUCUUCCACAAUGGGCGCAAGCCUGAUGGAGCAACGCCGCGUGUGUGAUGAAGGGUUUCGGCUCGUAAAACACUGUUAUAAGAGAAGAACGACAUUGAGAGUAACUGUUCAGUGUGUGACGGUAUCUUAUCAGAAAGGAACGGCUAAAUACGUG